Molecule: ribosomal RNA, 503 nt
Filed under: uncultured bacterium
Lineage: Bacteria
Description: bacterial SSU rRNA
Rfam family: Bacterial small subunit ribosomal RNA
Source: RNAcentral
CAGGAUGAACGCUAGCGACAGGCUAACACAUGACAAGUCGAGGGGCAGCAUAAAAGUAGCAAUACGUUUGGUGGCGACCGGCGCACGGGUGAGUAACGCGUAUGCAACCUACCUAUCGAGAGGGGAAUAACCCGGCGAAAGUCGGACUAAUACCGCAUAAAACAGGGGCACCGCAUGGUGAUAUUUGUUAAAGAAAUUCGCUGAUAGAUGGGCAUGCGUUCCAUUAGGUAGUUGGUGAGGUAACGGCUCACCAAGCCGACGAUGGAUAGGGGAACUGAGAGGUUGGUCCCCCACACUGGUACUGAGACACGGACCAGGCUCCUACGGGAGGCAGCAGUGGGGAAUAUUGGUCAAUGGGCGGGAGCCUGAACCAGCCAAGUCGCGUGAAGGAAGAAGGAUCUAUGGUUCGUAAACUUCUUUUGCAGGGGAAUAAAGUGCAGGACGUGUCCUGUUUUGUAUGUACCCUGAGAAUAAGGAUCGGCUAACUCCGUGCCAGCCGCGGC